Molecule: unclassified non-coding RNA, 305 nt
Filed under: plant metagenome
Description: partial contains 5.8S ribosomal RNA, internal transcribed spacer 2, and large subunit ribosomal RNA
Rfam family: 5.8S ribosomal RNA (bases 1-105)
Source: RNAcentral
GAAAUGCGAUAAGUAGUGUGAAUUGCAGAAUUCAGUGAAUCAUCGAAUCUUUGAACGCACAUUGCGCCCUUUGGUAUUCCUUAGGGCAUGCCUGUUCGAGCGUCAUCUAAACCUUCAAGCCCUGCUUGGUGUUGGGUGCCUGUCCCGCCUCCGCGCGCGGACUCUCCUCAAAUCCAUUGGCGGCCCCCGCGUCGGCCACGAGCGCAGCAGAAACGCGAACUCGUGAGCCCGUCCGGGCGGCUCCCAGAAGCUACACCCACCCAGUUUGACCUCGGAUCAGGUAGGGAUACCCGCUGAACUUAAGC